This 253-nucleotide ribosomal RNA is filed under the name uncultured bacterium. Its description in RNAcentral is "partial 16S ribosomal RNA". It matches the Rfam family "Bacterial small subunit ribosomal RNA", at positions 524 to 776 of the family's 1533-position model. The record is from RNAcentral.
UACGGAGGGGGCUAGCGUUGUUCGGAAUUACUGGGCGUAAAGCGCGCGUAGGCGGCUUUUUAAGUUAGAGGUGAAAGCCCGGAGCUCAACUCCGGAACUGCCUUUAAGACUGCAUCGCUAGAAUUGUGGAGAGGUGAGUGGAAUUCCGAGUGUAGAGGUGAAAUUCGUAGAUAUUCGGAAGAACACCAGUGGCGAAGGCGACUCACUGGACGCAUAUUGACGCUGAGGUGCGAAAGCGUGGGGAGUAAACAGG